Nomascus leucogenys (northern white-cheeked gibbon) is the source of this 383-nucleotide long non-coding RNA. RefSeq lists it as uncharacterized. The transcript is spliced from 4 exons. The record is from RefSeq and is a predicted model, not a curated record. NCBI's taxonomy places the organism in Eukaryota, Metazoa, Chordata, Mammalia, Primates, Hylobatidae.
GAUCCUCCCACCUUAGCCUCCCAAAUACCUGGGACCACAGGCAUGCACCCUUGCACACCGCUAGUUUUUUUAGGUGUUGAGCCACCACUUCCGGCUCCAAGGUCACAGCUCUGGCUACACUUUCUCUGUGAAGCUGACGCUCAGGUCCGAAUGUGGCUGGCUGCCCGUCCUGUGACUCCUCCACUGCUGGGCCCACCUGGAGCUGGAGUCUGUCACCAUGCAACUGCCUUCUUGUCUGCUGUCCUCUACAGACUCCUGCAUCACCCAGAGCCUGAGGUGUUGAGCCUGGAUUCUUCAAGUUAGGAUCAAAUGAAAUAUUAUUUUCUUCCUGGAAAAAAGCAAAAGAAGAGUUUUGCUGUCACCCAGGCUGGAGUGCAAUGGCG